RNAcentral lists this ribosomal RNA (771 nucleotides) under Triticum aestivum (bread wheat). Its description in RNAcentral is "partial small subunit ribosomal RNA". The record is from RNAcentral. Lineage: Eukaryota; Viridiplantae; Streptophyta; Magnoliopsida; Poales; Poaceae.
AUGAACAAGUCCGGCGAGGACAGCACGGCGGAAGCCGAUCAGACCGACGGCGCGCAAUCAGGGUGCGAUGCUUCCGUCCUCCUCAACACGACCAACUCCAAUAACGAGACGGAGAGGGAAGGCCUUCCCAACAUGAACAGCCUACGAGGGUUCGAGGUGAUCGACGAGGCCAAGACGGCGAUCGAGGCCGCCUGCAACAAUACAGUCUCAUGCGCGGACAUCGUCGCCUUCGCCGCCCGCGACGCAUCCUACUUCCUCAGCAACGGCAGCAUCAAUAUCCCGAUGCCAGGCGGCCGCUACGACGGGCGCGAGUCCUUCGCCAGCGAGACCGACCAGCUGCCCGGGCCCUUCUCCAACGGGUUCACCCUCGACGAGAUGGUCACGCUCUCCGGCGCGCACACCAUCGGCCGCGCCCGCUGCAUGUUCUUCUCCAGCCGCUUCUCUGAGAUGAACCAGACAUAUGCCGCCAACCUCAGGGCCGAGUGCAGCAACAACGGCGACACCAACGUGAACCAAGACAAUGUGACCUCCAACGUCCUGGAUAAGCAGUACUACCAGAACGUGAUCGACAACAAAGUGUUGUUCACCUCGGACGCCGUGCUCAACUCGACAGAAACGAGAACGCAGGUGAUAGACAACGCGGACAAGCCCGGAGAGUGGGAGAGGAAGUUCGAGAAAGCCAUGGAGAAAAUGGGGAAAAUCAAAGGCGACCAGCAAGGCCUGGAGAUCAGGAAGGUAUGCUGGAGAGUCAACAACGUUGGCCAGUAUUAA